UCACCUGUGGCAGACAUCCCGGAUGGAGGUCAGAGCCCUGUCCACCCGCCCCCACACCCCGUCCAGCCUGGGCCUCCUGGGGCCCAGAGAAGAGCCAGGCCUGGAGGAGCUGCCAGCCGAGGGUACCAAGUUCUCUCAUUGAGGGAGUUUUGCCCCAGGGCCCCAAACAGACCACACACAGCCUUAGAUCUGAACCCAGGAGGCUUGGGGAUCCCCAGCUCCUUCCUUUUGCAGUAGGGACACCUGGGCUUCCAGGCUGGCUCUGCUAGACUCUGAAAGAACCCAUCAUCCCCUUUCCUGGGGCCUCCAGCUAGCCCUCUGCAUCGAUGUCCAGUUCCUUGCUGGGUCGUUCUGAUCAUGAAGAGUGCUGACUGGGGUGCUGCCCAUUCUUCAAGCUGGCCGCUCUCUUCCUGUCUCUCUGAGGAGUUGUACUCAAGCCCUACGUAGCCAGAGCCACUAAACCACUGCGCCUGACCCAGGGCUAGCCCUUUUCCAAAGAUUCCUGAGAGAUGGCUGAAAGGAUACCAAGAGACCCCAUCCUGACUUCUGCCCAGGGGCCACCUGCAGCUCCCAGGGAGGGAAGGAGCCAUGCAGUCUCUGCUAGGUAGCAGAGAAGUCAGAGGAUCAUCCCUCCCGGGCCCACGUGCAUCUAGGGUUUCCAAAACCCAUCCGUUUUUUCAACAGAUAUCUACCGCAUCCUACCAUAAGGCUCCAAGGCACUGAUUCUUCCUUCCAUGCUGAUUCUGUUACUACACUGC
Long non-coding RNA from Bubalus bubalis (water buffalo), 758 nucleotides. RefSeq lists it as uncharacterized. The record is from RefSeq and is a predicted model, not a curated record. The transcript has 2 exons. Lineage: Eukaryota; Metazoa; Chordata; Mammalia; Artiodactyla; Bovidae.